RNAcentral lists this long non-coding RNA (275 nucleotides) under Lathyrus oleraceus (garden pea). RNAcentral's name for it is "Pisum sativum (pea) long non-coding RNA (PSAT_LNC003614)". Lineage: Eukaryota; Viridiplantae; Streptophyta; Magnoliopsida; Fabales; Fabaceae. The record is from RNAcentral.
AAUCAAAAAAAAGAAAUCAAUCAAAAUCAAAAGAAAUCAAAAGAAAUCAAAAGAAAGAAAAAGAAAGAAAAAAAACAAAAGAAAGAUAGCACCCUCAAAGUCCCAAGUUGGCUGAUGCUGAAUUCGAUCGAAAGGAAGAGAUCAACUGCCAUGUGUCAUGAAAAUCAAAAGAAAUCAAAAGAAAGAAAAAGAAAGAAAAAAAACAAAAGAAAGAUAGCACCCUCAAAGUCCCAAGUUGGCUGAUGCUGAAUUCGAUCGAAAGGAAGAGAUCAACU